Molecule: ribosomal RNA, 573 nt
Filed under: Fejervarya sp. hpB
Lineage: Eukaryota; Metazoa; Chordata; Amphibia; Anura; Dicroglossidae
Description: partial 16S rRNA
Rfam family: Bacterial large subunit ribosomal RNA
Source: RNAcentral
CCAAAACAUCGCCUCUUGACACAUACAUAUUCUAUAAGAGGUCCAGCCUGCCCAGUGACAUUUUUAACGGCCGCGGUACUCUGACCGUGCGAAGGUAGCAUAAUCACUUGUUCUUUAAAUGGGGACUAGUAUCAACGGCAUCACGAGGAUUUUACUGUCUCCUUUUUCUAAUCGGUGAAACUGAUCUCCCCGUGAAGAAGCGGGGAUAAUACUAUAAGACGAGAAGACCCCAUGGAGCUUUAAACCCAGUAACAUCUCAAACUCUUUAUUCCCCCUUAGUUUUUAUGCAUUGUCUGCUGGUUUUAGGUUGGGGUGACCGCGGAGUAUAACUUAACCUCCACAGCGCACGGAACUUAUUCCUUAUCCAAGAGCCACAUCUCGAAGAAUCAAUAAAUUGACGUAAAAUGAUCCAUAACCUUGAUUAAUGAACCAAGUUACCCUGGGGAUAACAGCGCAAUCCAUUUUUAGAGCUCCUAUCGACAAAUGGGUUUACGACCUCGAUGUUGGAUCAGGGUAUCCCAGUGGUGCAGCCGCUACUAAUGGUUUGUUUGUUCAACAAUUAAACCCUACCUG